UGAGGAAGGGCUGCUGAGUGAAGGUCACAGUGCAAGAACAAUUCCACAGCGCUUGUCCCAAUCAGGGAACCUUUAAGGAACAAGAUAUCGGAUGGCAAUUUUGUAUUUUCCUUUUUAGGAGAUGACCCAGGAAAAUGGAUGCUCAGAAAUCAAAAAGAAGCUUGAGACUGCAUGGAAAAAUCACUAGUGAAUUAAAAUCUUAUUUCUGUUUUUUUCAAUCCUGUCUGUUUCCUAAGAAAAAGCUGGUGCCGGAAUGAACGCGUAUCUUUUUGUUGUUGUUUUGACACUGACAAAAAUUCCUUUUGCAGAUGGCUACUGAGGCUUCAAAGGGGCAAUGUAUCAUGCAAAUAAUUUUUUUCAGCUAUGACGUGUACAGUUCAGUUUGAUUUAUUUUUGAUGUCAGAAACAAAAUGGAAAGUUAGCGCUUUAAAAAUGAGCAUGGCU
Molecule: long non-coding RNA, 444 nt
Filed under: Homo sapiens (human)
Lineage: Eukaryota; Metazoa; Chordata; Mammalia; Primates; Hominidae
Description: HSALNT0242947
Source: RNAcentral